CUGAUGACGAGUGGCGGACGGGUGAGUAACGCGUGGGAAUCUACCCAAAAGUCGGGGACAACCUGGUGAAAACCAGGCUAAUACCGGAUGUGGUCUACGGACUAAAGCAGGGGAUCUUCGGACCUUGCGCUAUUGGAUGAGCCCGCGUUAGAUUAGCUAGUUGGUGGGGUAAUGGCCUACCAAGUCUACGAUCUAUAGCUGUUCUGAGAGGAAGAUCAGCCACACUGGGACUGAGACACGGCCCAGACUCC
This 251-nucleotide ribosomal RNA is filed under the name uncultured bacterium. RNAcentral describes it as "partial 16S ribosomal RNA". It matches the Rfam family "Bacterial small subunit ribosomal RNA", at positions 85 to 339 of the family's 1533-position model. The record is from RNAcentral.